This 2772-nucleotide ribosomal RNA is filed under the name Triticum aestivum (bread wheat). Its description in RNAcentral is "partial small subunit ribosomal RNA". Lineage: Eukaryota; Viridiplantae; Streptophyta; Magnoliopsida; Poales; Poaceae. The record is from RNAcentral.
AUGCAAGUGCAAAUCGUCAUCGUCCACAUCUACGUGGCGACCACCAUCACGUUCGUGAUCAACAUCGUCAUGAAGGGCAAGUCACCUCCAAGCAACAUGUGCACGACGACGAUGAACACCUACGAGCUCAAGCACAACAACGACAUCAUCAUCAUGAAGAUGCUCCACAAGCGCAAGUGCACAAGUCCCAACAAGCCCUACUUUACGCCAAGUCGAAGCUUCAUAAGCACAAGAGAAGACCGCGAGACGAGCACCACCAAGACGGUGCUACGGCUACACCAACCACUUUGGCAUCUUCGCCAAGUGCUAUCGAGGCAUCUUUGCCUUUGGACGUACGGCAUCUUCGCCUACUUCCCAUGUACGCCUACAACGACUUCAUCAAGUCCAAGGCGACCACCUACGAGCAAGGGCGACACUUCCAUCUUCGGAAGCCCCUCAAGGACGAUGGCCGAGCAUGGGAAACUCCCUUCGGUCAUGGAGACAAGCUAUGAGGUGCCACAUCAUAUGGACCUCCAACACCAAGACGGUGACAAGACGGUCGAGCAAGGGCCAUCCCCUUCGACUACGGCGACAAGCGCGAACCUCUUCAAUAACAUGAAGAUGGUGCCCAUAUUGGACUCAUCCUUCGAGUCAAGCUACGAGACCGCGCAUGGAGACAUUUGCACCUACAUCUCUCAGACACCCACAUAUGUCGAGAUGCCACAUUUGCCAUGUGAGGAGAGCCACCACCACAUGAGUGACAUGAGUGACUCCACCAUAUGUGACAUUGAGAGCAUUUCCUAUGAGAGGAUGAGUGUGACCACCACUAGCCCACAUGAGAGCAUGCCACACAUCCUAUGUGAGGUUGAGAACCAUUUGAGUGACUCCACCAACAAUAUGAGUGAGUGCAUCCUUGAGGGAGUGAGUGAGCCACAACACUUAGUGAGUGAGGUAGUUGACACGGCAUGUGAGGCCACCAUGAUUUCUAAUGACUUAACCUCUACUCCUAGUGUUUUUUCUUCUUUGGUGCUAGGUCCCAUAUAUGAUGACGCGCCGAUUCGCGAUGACUACGUCCUCCCUUUGGACACGAUGAUGGCCAUGGUGGAACAUGAUGAACCCCCCACAUGGUUCCAUCAAGAUGAAGAUGACAACGAGACGAUCUUCAACACCUCACCUACAACACAUGAGCGACGCUCCAAAGGUAACAUAGGUGAUGGUGCUUCUCUUGUCCCACUAGUGGACCCUCUUGAUAAUGAUUGCUCCCAUGAUGUUGACCCACCUAUUGCCAUGCUUCAUGCUAGUGAAACUUCUUCAUGUCAUGACUUACCUAUUUAUGAUGAAUACGAUGAUGACCAUGUUGAGUUACCUAGUUGUGAUGCUAUGCUCCAUAGGAUAUCAUGUGAAAAUUCUAUUGGUCACAUCAUGUUUGACAAUCCAUUGAACUUGUUAAAUGCUAUGAGUGAGAUCAACCAUAUUGCAUCAUUUCAAUCACAACAUAGUAGCUAUGCAUGCCCCAUUAAAAUAAAUCCCAUUUGCACUUAUGGCAUAGAUGACGAGAUGAUGGUCAUUGGCUUAUGUUUUUCAUGUGAUGAUAUUGCCAUGCUUCCUUUACAUGAUUUUCGCAAUUCAUCUACUAUGCCAUGCCAUGAUCACAUUGUUCCGAAUAUGCAUUGUUUUGGAUGUUGUCAAUAUUCUCCAUGUGAUGUUACCACUAUUGCUCAUGAGGAGACUCCCAUAGUUUCCUCAUACAUAUUAGGAGAUCUUGAUACAUUUCAUACUUUGCAUGAUUUCCAUGAUUGCUUGCACCAUAUGCAUUCCAUGAAUAACAAUGCUCUAGAUAUUUCCCAUGAUUCAUUACACAAUUUGAGUCUCCAUUAUGCUAUACAUAAUAACAAACCUCUCAUGAUGGAUGACAUGUUUCUAUAUCACGCAUCUCAUUUAUUUGAGCAUUGGCUAUUUUGUGCUCACCGACACAUGCAUGUGCGCAUCAUGAUGGAUGAUGUGUACAUCUACCACGCACACACAAUUUUUCCUUUGUCUUUGUUGUGUGUAGGUACUCAUGUAUACUCGUCAACCUCUCAAUCCCAAGAGUUGACGAAACGAGCUCUUGAGAGCAAUGAUGACUUGGGAUCCCGUGGACUAUCCUUACCAACGUCCCCUUCGCGCAAGGACUAUGCGCAACUCCUCUACUUGGCUCUCACACGGCUAUGGGCCAUUUACCACUCCUCACAUUAUGCUCAUUUUACCGUGUUCACUUUGCAUGCUACACUUGCUUCUAUGCCUUUGCCAUGCAAUUGUGACCCUUGCUUGCAUCUACCCAUGUUUCAUCAUUAUGCUACUUCUAUGUGUACUUUCAUGCUUGGUGGAGAUCCUUGUUGCUAUUGCCAUGUUUAUCAUGUGCCCCAUGCUAUUGUCCUCAUACCUUGCUUUCAUGCUUGUGAUAUGUCAUGUGCAUUAUUCAUGCCCACUAUUUGCACACAUGACAUGCUUACCAUGAUUCCUCCUAGUAUGUUGCAUCUUCGCACUACUAGCUUGCUUGACUUGAUUGCUAUGAUUGCUUGCUAUGUUGCAUCACCCAUGUUCCACUAUUACUUGCUUUCUUGGGAUGAUGACAUAUAUGCAUACACUUGUUCUCGCAUCAUAUGCCUACAUACUAUGACAUGCUCCCUUGUCCUUUCUUAUGAUGAGCAUGAUGCAUACACUUGUUGGGUAUCUCGCCCCUCGAAUGAUAGGUCUUGCUUUUGCACUAACCUCAUUUGUUUUCCAAGUGUUUCUCAUGUUCUUUCAUUUUGA